GACCGCGUAGCUCAGUUGGCAGAGCAUUGGGCUAGUAGUAUUCCAAAGGUCGUAGGUUCGAUUCCCACCGUGGCCA
This 76-nucleotide transfer RNA is filed under the name Paramuricea clavata. It matches the Rfam family "tRNA". Rfam says of the family: Transfer RNA (tRNA) molecules are approximately 80 nucleotides in length. Their secondary structure includes four short double-helical elements and three loops (D, anti-codon, and T loops). The record is from Rfam by way of RNAcentral. Lineage: Eukaryota; Metazoa; Cnidaria; Anthozoa; Malacalcyonacea; Plexauridae.